AAGGAGUCUAACAUGUGUGCGAGUGGUUGGGUGUUGAAGCCCAGGUGCAGAAUGAAAGUGAAGAAGGUGGGAUCGCCUGCAGUGAUGCAGGGGAGCACCAUUGGCUUGAGCCUCGGUGUCUACUGGGGCUCUACGCAGGAGCAUACAUGCUGGGACCCGAAAGAUGGUGAACUAUGCCUGAGUAGGGUGAAGCCAGAGGAAACUCUGGUGGAGGCCCGUAGUGGUUCUAACGUGCAAAUUGAUCACGGGACUUGGGCAUAGGGGCGAAAGACUAAUCGAACCAUCUAGUAGCUGGUUCCCUC
Molecule: small RNA, 302 nt
Filed under: uncultured fungus
Lineage: Eukaryota; Fungi
Description: eukaryotic LSU rRNA
Rfam family: Eukaryotic large subunit ribosomal RNA
Source: RNAcentral